GCUCCCUUAGCUCAAUGGAUAGAGCAGCGGCCUUCUAAGCCGUUGGUUGGAGGUUCGAAUCCUCCAGGGAGCGCCA
Molecule: transfer RNA, 76 nt
Filed under: Fodinibius sp.
Lineage: Bacteria; Pseudomonadati; Balneolota; Balneolia; Balneolales; Balneolaceae
Description: tRNA-Arg
Rfam family: tRNA
About the family: Transfer RNA (tRNA) molecules are approximately 80 nucleotides in length. Their secondary structure includes four short double-helical elements and three loops (D, anti-codon, and T loops). Further hydrogen bonds mediate the characteristic L-shaped molecular structure. tRNAs have two regions of fundamental functional importance: the anti-codon, which is responsible for specific mRNA codon recognition, and the 3' end, to which the tRNAs corresponding amino acid is attached (by aminoacyl-tRNA synthetases). tRNAs cope with the degeneracy of the genetic code in two manners: having more than one tRNA (with a specific anti-codon) for a particular amino acid; and 'wobble' base-pairing, i.e. permitting non-standard base-pairing at the 3rd anti-codon position.
Source: RNAcentral